This 253-nucleotide ribosomal RNA is filed under the name uncultured bacterium. RNAcentral describes it as "partial 16S ribosomal RNA". It matches the Rfam family "Bacterial small subunit ribosomal RNA", at positions 524 to 776 of the family's 1533-position model. The record is from RNAcentral.
UACGUAGGGGGCAAGCGUUGUCCGGAAUCAUUGGGCGUAAAGCGCGUGUAGGCGGCUUGGUAAGUCUGCUCUGAAAGCCCGGGGCUCAACCCCGGGAGGCGGGUGGAUACUGUCAAGCUUGAGUCCGGAAGAGGAGUGUGGAAUUCCUGGUGUAGCGGUGAAAUGCGCAGAUAUCAGGAGGAACACCAAUGGCGAAGGCAGCACUCUGGGACGUGACUGACGCUGAGACGCGAAAGCGUGGGGAGCAAACAGG